AGUGAACGCUGGCGGUAGACCUAACACAUGCAAGUCGAACGGCAGCACAGUAAGAGCUUGCUCUUACGGGUGGCGAGUGGCGGACGGGUGAGGAAUAAAUCGGAAUCUACUUUUUCGUGGGGGAUAACGUAGGGAAAAUUACGCUAAUACCGCAUACGACCUACGGGUGAAAGCAGGGGAUCUUCGGACCUUGCGCGAUUGAAUGAGCCGAUGUCGGAUUAGCUAGUUGGCGGGGUAAAGGCCCACCAAGGCGACGAUCCGUAGCUGGUCUGAGAGGAUGAUCAGCCACACUGGAACUGAGACACGGUCCAGACUCCUACGGGAGGCAGCAGUGGGGAAUAUUGGACAAUGGGCGCAAGCCUGAUCCAGCCAUACCGCGUGGGUGAAGAAGGCCUUCGGGUUGUAAAGCCCUUUUGUUGGGAAAGAAAAGCAGCAGGUUAAUACCCCGCUGUUCUGACGGUACCUAAAGAAUAAGCACCGGCUAACUUCGUG
Molecule: ribosomal RNA, 492 nt
Filed under: uncultured bacterium
Lineage: Bacteria
Description: partial 16S ribosomal RNA
Rfam family: Bacterial small subunit ribosomal RNA
Source: RNAcentral